UACGUAGGGUGCAAGCGUUAAUCGGAAUUACUGGGCGUAAAGCGUGCGCAGGCGGCUUUGCAAGACAGAUGUGAAAUCCCCGGGCUUAACCUGGGAACUGCAUUUGUGACUGCAUGGCUGGAGUGCGGCAGAGGGGGAUGGAAUUCCGCGUGUAGCAGUGAAAUGCGUAGAUAUGCGGAGGAACACCGAUGGCGAAGGCAAUCCCCUGGGCCUGCACUGACGCUCAUGCACGAAAGCGUGGGAG
This 244-nucleotide ribosomal RNA is filed under the name uncultured bacterium. RNAcentral's name for it is "partial 16S ribosomal RNA". It matches the Rfam family "Bacterial small subunit ribosomal RNA", at positions 524 to 767 of the family's 1533-position model. The record is from RNAcentral.